GGUUCUGUAGUACAAUGGAUAGUAUGGAGGUUUCCGGAGCCUCAGAUACAGGUUCGAUUCCUGUCAGAACCA
Molecule: transfer RNA, 72 nt
Filed under: Chitinophagales bacterium
Lineage: Bacteria; Pseudomonadati; Bacteroidota; Chitinophagia; Chitinophagales
Description: tRNA-Arg
Rfam family: tRNA
About the family: Transfer RNA (tRNA) molecules are approximately 80 nucleotides in length. Their secondary structure includes four short double-helical elements and three loops (D, anti-codon, and T loops).
Source: RNAcentral